Daedaleopsis nitida is the source of this 85-nucleotide non-coding RNA. The record is from the annotation of a GenBank genome assembly. NCBI's taxonomy places the organism in Eukaryota, Fungi, Basidiomycota, Agaricomycetes, Polyporales, Polyporaceae.
GGGUCGGUGGCGUAGUUGGUUAUCGCAUCUGUCUAACACGUAAAAUGUGCACAGAAGGUCCUCAGUUCGAACCUGGGCCGACUCA